AGUCCAUCUUUGUUGGGUGUUGAGUAACUUUCGCGAAGGAAAAUCCAUUUCCAUCGAACUCUACGAAAGGUUUUUUUCUUGUAUAAUAUAGUAUUUGCCUUAGUAUUUAUCCCAGUUUUCGAUAGUUUGUUAAUUGUGUCACCAUUGAUGCCUCUGAACCUGAGAAUUAUGGUUCAAAAGUUACGAAUCGCCGUUGUUUGCUCCAGCAACCAAAACCGCAGUAUGGAAGCGCAUAAUUUCUUAAGCAAGCGCGGUUUCAACGUGAAAUCCUUUGGUUCUGGAGUGCAAGUGAAGCUGCCUGGACCAGCACCGGAUCGACCAAACAUUUAUUCGUUUGAAACAACCUACGAUGAAAUGUACAAAGAUUUACUGAAAAGAGACCCACAACUGUAU
Molecule: long non-coding RNA, 393 nt
Organism: Orbicella faveolata
Lineage: Eukaryota; Metazoa; Cnidaria; Anthozoa; Scleractinia; Merulinidae
Source: RefSeq, a predicted model, not a curated record